Molecule: long non-coding RNA, 2052 nt
Organism: Conger conger (European conger)
Lineage: Eukaryota; Metazoa; Chordata; Actinopteri; Anguilliformes; Congridae
Exons: 2
Source: RefSeq, a predicted model, not a curated record
GAAAGAGGCAGCCAGGGGUCACCCAGCGCGGGCCCCGGGCCCUGGAGCCCAGGGACCCUCGGCUCACGGCUCCUCCUGCAGCUCUGCCCCAGCCAGGCCGCACCGUGCGUGUGUGUGUGUAUGUUGGCGUGUGUGUGUGUGAGUGUGUGUGUGUGUGUGUGUGUGUGUGUGUGUUGGCGUGUGUGUGUGUGUGUGGUUCGGCCUGGGGGGGCCUUACCACCCUGCACCGGCUCAUGAAAGUUUGCCAGAAAAUGAAUAAAAAGGAGAGGCAAAGGUCCUGGUUUAGUUUUUUUUCCGCCUUCCCUGAUUACGCAUCCCCCCGCUGACUGUUUGAGUGAGAGUUCGGUACACAGCUCUCUGACAUCCGAGCGCACAGCCUCCUUCCUCUCCCGCCUUCCUCUGAGCGUGCCUCACCAGCCGCACUGGGUGAGUCAGACCGCCAGGACUUUUAAAAAAUGCUAAUGGUGAUCUCUGCGAGAGAACAAGGCCCCCAUUUGCAUUUCACCUGCGAUGUGCCAUCGCUGACAUCUGGCAUUGUUGCCUGGAUACGUUACGAAUGUUAUUGACUGUUUUCUUUGAGGCAAAGUAAUGUAUCUUUCAUAACAGUGGAUUUCAGGUGGUGAAGCUGGUUCCAAGGCCAUUUAAAAAAAAAAAAAGACAACUCAACCAAGAAACCAAAAGUCUUCUUCUUUUUUUUUUUAAGUAAAGCAAGAAAAAAAACUAAACAAAUGGACUAUACCUCUGCCAAUGCAAUAGAGCCUUCACCUGAAGACAUCAUACGAACUCUGAGAACUUUCUUCUUAGAUCUGUGUUCUCUGACUUCCAGUCCCUGGAAAGGCUGUGAAAAUCCACGGGUUGUUGCCCUGCGCUCAACCCAAAGCACUGGACUGAAGCCGGACAUUCGUUUUUUUUUAAAUGAGCCAAAAACCUCCAGAAGUCAAACUGCACGUGAGUCCGCGAUCCCUUUGGAUCACCCCUGAGGGGUCUGGAGGAUCGCGGGCGCUUACCAGAGAGAAUACGGCAUCAUGGCAGCUCAGGAAGGACUUCCUGGGGGAUUCUGGGAGAGCGAGCUCGGACUGGCGGAGGGGCAGCCUGGCCAGCGACGGGACGGACCUCAUAACCGGAUGGACGUCUCACACGGAGCAGACACCGUGGAGGGGACAGCCGCCAGGGCAGUGCCAACCCAAACCCACCUCCAAUCAAACCAGCGCUGCCCAUCCCUCCCUGAAAAUACAAAGAAAUACCCUGGCACAGCUCUCAACCAGGCCCGUCGGUGGGUCCGAUCCACACUGAGCUGAAUUCUAGCUCUGUCUGUGAACUUGCCCCGGAAAGCUAUGAAGACCACAGGAUGCUAAUGCUUGUGGAAAGACUUGAAAUGUGCAUAUUAAGAUGAAAUAUUUAUUUGAUGCCCUGCUGACUACUGCAUAAAACAGGGACCAUAUUUCGGGGGCAGGUAAGUGAGCGAACUCGCUGGUAAGUAUUUAAACACUUGUACAUAUCCAUACAGCGAUUUAAUAUUUCAGUGUCCUCUAGCACUGUAACAAAGUAAUCCACUGGCAUGACUUGCACACACUUUUCAAGGAGAGUGGCGGAGAAUAUGUAGAGAAGAUUUAAAUGAUCCCCAGACUAAACAGACUGAUAAUAUCAAACCAGGAUUAACAGACACCAGACACUGAUUUCUUGCAUUAGCAGCAAGAGAAGUCUGCUUCAUUUUGACACUGGCAUAUUCAUGGGCAGCCCUUUGCGGUUCCCAAGGGGUCCUGCAUAUCUGUCCGUGAUGCUUAGGAGCACAGAAAGCCACUCUGCUGUGUCUCUCAUCGGAGUGCUCGGGAGAUUAAUGAAAGCUCAAAGUGAAUUUAUUUAUUUGCUUAUGUUUUUGUAAUCAUUCAUAUGUAGUCAAAUCGCUGAGGAUGGUAUUAUAAGAUUAUCAGUGGCUACUGAGGCUAUGCAGAGUGGGUAUUAUACUUAUAAAGCCAAUCGUUCUUGAAUGACAAAAUGCAUUGACACGUGUCUUUGUUUUGUGUGAGUUCUGAAUAAAAUAUUUAAGAUUAA